GCAAGAUACCACGGGCGCACGGCGGAUGCCUUGGCACAGGGAGCCGAUGAAGGACGCGGCAAGCUGCGAUAAUCCCCGGCGAGGAGCACACAUCCUUCGACCCGGGGGUCUCCGAAUGGGCGAACCCAUGCACAGCAGUGUGCAUAUCCCCCCGCUGAACACAUAGGCGGGGGGAGGACAACCCGGGGAACUGAAACAUCUAAGUACCCGGAGGAGAGGAAAUCAAUCUCGAGACUCCCCGAGUAGCGGCGAGCGAAAGGGGACCGAUGGCCAAACCGUCGAGCGGGCAUACCCGGCAGGGGUUCCGCCGACGGGGUUGCAGGGCCGCGCAUCCGGGGGCUGCCGCCCCCGGGCGCAGGUCCGGCUGGGGAGCGGAACGGCAUGGGAGGGCCGGCCGCAGCGGGUGACAGCCCCGUACGCGAACCCAGACCGGACGGCGCGACGCGGUCCCUGAGUAGGGCCGGGCACGUGAAACCCGGUCCGAACCUGGGUGGACCACCAUCCAAGCCUGAGUACUACCCUGUGACCGAUAGCGCACCAGUACCGUGAGGGAAAGGUGAAAAGCACCCCGGGAGGGGAGUGAAACAGUACCUGAAACCGUGCGCCCACGAGCAGUCGGAGCACCUUUAUGGUGUGACGGCGUGCCUUUUGUAGAAUGAGCCAGCGAGUCGCUGGCGCGGGGCGAGGUUAACCGAAAGGGAGCCGGAGCGAAAGCGAGCCUUAACAGGGCGACUUGAGUCCCGCGCCGCGGACGCGAAGCCGGGUGAGCUAUCCGUGGGCAGGCUGAAGCGGGGGUAAGACCCCGUGGAGGGCCGAACGCACGUCGGUUGAAAACGGCGGCGAUGACCUGCGGAUAGGGGUGAAAGGCCAAUCAAACCCGGAGAUAUCUCGUUCUCCCCGAAAUAGCUUUAGGGCUAGCGUCGCGCGUUCACCGCCGGAGGUAGAGCACCGGAUGGACGAGGGGGCUUCGCCGCCUACCGAAUCCAACCGAACUCCGAAUGCCGGCGGCCCAGAGCGCGGCAGUCAGAGCAUGUGGGCUAAGCUGUGUGCUCGAGAGGGAAACAGCCCGGACCGCCCGCUAAGGUCCCCAAGUUCCAGCCGAGUGGCAAAGGAUGUGCGUCCGCCCAGACAACCAGGAUGUUGGCUUAGAAGCAGCCAUCCAUUCAAAGAGUGCGUAACAGCUCACUGGUCGAGUGGACAUGCGCCGACAAUACACGGGGCUAAGCUGGACACCGAAGCGGCGGGAUUUUAAUUCAUUAGAAUCGGUAGGGGAGCUUCCCAUGGGCGGAGAAGCCGGAGGGCGACCGACGGUGGAGCGCAUGGGAGUGAGAAUGCUGGCAUGAGUAGCGAGAGACGAGAGAGUAACUCGUCCGCCGUGAACCCGAGGUUUCCUGGGCAAGGCUAAUCCUCCCAGGGUCAGUCGGGGGCUAAGGCGAGGCCGGGAGGCGUAGCCGACGCGCAGCAGGCAGACAUUCCUGCACCGCGCACGCGGCGCUACGACCGACGGGGCGACGGAUGGGGGUGGCUCGGCGGGGUUCUGGACGUCCCCGUGAUGGAGCGCGGCCCGCGGACCAGGGAAAUCCGGUCCGCACGAAGGGCGAGGCUCCGGACGAAGCGACUGAGCGAAGCGAGUGAGCCCGAGGUCCCUAGAAAAACCCCUAGGCAGGCGCGUGCGCGCCCGUACCGCAAACCGACACAGGUGGGUGGGUAGAACAUACCGAGGCGAUCGGGUCAACCAUGGUCAAGGAACUCGGCACAAUGGCCCCGUAACUUCGGGAGAAGGGGUGCCCGCGCGUACGUGAACCGGCUCGCCCGGGGAGCGGAGGCGGGCCGCAGUGGAGAGGCCCAAGCGACUGUUUACCAAAAACACAGGACUCUGCAGAAGCCGCAAGGCGACGUAUAGGGUCUGACGCCUGCCCGGUGCCGGAAGGUCACGCGGAGGAGUUAGCCGUUAAGGCGAAGCCCCGAAGCCAAGCCCCGGUAAACGGCGGCCGUAACUAUAACGGUCCUAAGGUAGCGAAAUUCCUUGUCGGGU
Molecule: ribosomal RNA, 2035 nt
Filed under: human gut metagenome
Description: bacterial LSU rRNA
Rfam family: Bacterial large subunit ribosomal RNA
Source: RNAcentral